AUCCACUACACCCCUUACAUCCACUCAUUACCAAACAUUCAUCCACUACACCCAUUACAUCCACUCAUUACCAAACAUCCACCCACUACACCCAUUACAUCCACUCAUUACCAAACAUUCAUCCACGACACCCAUUACAUCCAUUCAUUACCAAACAUCCACCCACUACACCCAUUACAUCCACUCAUUACUGAUGUGAAAAAUAAGUUAACACACAAAAUUAAACCCUCUUUUUAUCAAAUGUAGUAAAGUAUGUAAG
Molecule: long non-coding RNA, 259 nt
Filed under: Malus domestica (apple)
Lineage: Eukaryota; Viridiplantae; Streptophyta; Magnoliopsida; Rosales; Rosaceae
Description: long non-coding RNA (MDOM_LNC001871)
Source: RNAcentral